Molecule: ribosomal RNA, 1441 nt
Filed under: metagenome
Description: bacterial LSU rRNA
Rfam family: Bacterial large subunit ribosomal RNA
Source: RNAcentral
CAAGUUUAAGGUGGUAGGCUGAAAUCUUAGGUAAAUCCGGGGUUUCAAGGCCGAGAGCUGAUGACGAGUCGUCUUUUAGAUGACAAAGUGGUUGAUGCCAUGCUUCCAAGAAAAGCUUCUAAGCUUCAGGUAACCAGGAACCGUACCCCAAACCGACACAGGUGGUCGGGUAGAGAAUACCAAGGCGCUUGAGAGAACUCGGGUGAAGGAACUAGGCAAAAUGGCACCGUAACUUCGGGAGAAGGUGCGCCGGCUAGGGUGAAGGAUUUACUCCGUAAGCUCUGGCUGGUCGAAGAUACCAGGCCGCUGCGACUGUUUAUUAAAAACACAGCACUCUGCAAACACGAAAGUGGACGUAUAGGGUGUGACGCCUGCCCGGUGCCGGAAGGUUAAUUGAUGGGGUUAGCGCAAGCGAAGCUCUUGAUCGAAGCCCCGGUAAGCGGCGGCCGUAACUAUAACGGUCCUAAGGUAGCGAAAUUCCUUGUCGGGUAAGUUCCGACCUGCACGAAUGGCGUAACGAUGGCGGCGCUGUCUCCACCCGAGACUCAGUGAAAUUGAAAUCGCUGUGAAGAUGCAGUGUAUCCGCGGCUAGACGGAAAGACCCCGUGAACCUUUACUGUAGCUUUGCACUGGACUUUGAGCCUGCUUGUGUAGGAUAGGUGGGAGGCUUUGAAGCGUGGACGCCAGUUCGCGUGGAGCCAUCCUUGAAAUACCACCCUGGCAUGCUUGAGGUUCUAACUCUGGUCCGUAAUCCGGAUCGAGGACAGUGUAUGGUGGGCAGUUUGACUGGGGCGGUCUCCUCCUAAAGAGUAACGGAGGAGUACGAAGGUGCGCUCAGACCGGUCGGAAAUCGGUCGCAGAGUAUAAAGGCAAAAGCGCGCUUGACUGCGAGACAGACACGUCGAGCAGGUACGAAAGUAGGUCUUAGUGAUCCGGUGGUUCUGUAUGGAAGGGCCAUCGCUCAACGGAUAAAAGGUACUCCGGGGAUAACAGGCUGAUACCGCCCAAGAGUUCAUAUCGACGGCGGUGUUUGGCACCUCGAUGUCGGCUCAUCACAUCCUGGGGCUGAAGCCGGUCCCAAGGGUAUGGCUGUUCGCCAUUUAAAGUGGUACGCGAGCUGGGUUUAGAACGUCGUGAGACAGUUCGGUCCCUAUCUGCCGUGGACGUUUGAGAUUUGAGAGGGGCUGCUCCUAGUACGAGAGGACCGGAGUGGACGAACCUCUGGUGUUCCGGUUGUCACGCCAGUGGCAUUGCCGGGUAGCUAUGUUCGGAAAAGAUAACCGCUGAAAGCAUCUAAGCGGGAAACUUGCCUCAAGAUGAGAUCUCACUGGGAACUUGAUUCCCCUGAAGGGCCGUCGAAGACUACGACGUUGAUAGGCUGGGUGUGUAAGCGUUGUGAGGCGUUGAGCUAACCAGUACUAAUUGCCCGUGAGGCUUGACC